ACAUUCAUGGUUCAGUGGUAGAAUUCUUGCCUUCUAUGUGGGAAACCUGGGUUUGAUUCCCGGCCAAUGCA
This 71-nucleotide transfer RNA is filed under the name Loxodonta africana (African savanna elephant). It matches the Rfam family "tRNA". From Rfam's summary of the family: Transfer RNA (tRNA) molecules are approximately 80 nucleotides in length. Their secondary structure includes four short double-helical elements and three loops (D, anti-codon, and T loops). Further hydrogen bonds mediate the characteristic L-shaped molecular structure. tRNAs have two regions of fundamental functional importance: the anti-codon, which is responsible for specific mRNA codon recognition, and the 3' end, to which the tRNAs corresponding amino acid is attached (by aminoacyl-tRNA synthetases). tRNAs cope with the degeneracy of the genetic code in two manners: having more than one tRNA (with a specific anti-codon) for a particular amino acid; and 'wobble' base-pairing, i.e. permitting non-standard base-pairing at the 3rd anti-codon position. The record is from Rfam by way of RNAcentral. Lineage: Eukaryota; Metazoa; Chordata; Mammalia; Proboscidea; Elephantidae.